GACGAACGCUGGCGGCGUGCUUAACACAUGCAAGUCGAACGGAAAGGCCCUGCUUGCCGGGUACUCGAGUGGCGAACGGGUGAGUAACACGUGGGUGAUCUGCCCUGCACUUCGGGAUAAGCUUGGGAAACUGGGUCUAAUACCGGAUAGGAGCCAUCUUUAGUGUGGUGGUUGGAAAGUUUUUUCGGUGUAGGAUGAGCUCGCGGCCUAUCAGCUUGUUGGUGGGGUAAUGGCCUACCAAGGCGGCGACGGGUAGCCGGCCUGAGAGGGUGUACGGCCACAUUGGGACUGAGAUACGGCCCAGACUCCUACGGGAGGCAGCAGGGGGGAAUAUUGCACAAUGGGCGCAAGCCUGAUGCAGCGACGCCGCGUGGGGGAUGAAGGCCUUCGGGUUGUAAACUCCUUUCGCUAGGGACGAAGCUUUGUUGUGACGGUACCUAGAUAAGAAGCACCGGCUAACUACGUG
RNAcentral lists this ribosomal RNA (466 nucleotides) under uncultured bacterium. RNAcentral's name for it is "partial 16S ribosomal RNA". It matches the Rfam family "Bacterial small subunit ribosomal RNA", at positions 28 to 507 of the family's 1533-position model. The record is from RNAcentral.